GAUAUAAGUUUGGAAUUACUAUUCCACUCUUCUUUCUGUAACAAGUUUGUUCCUAAGUGAGAGCAUAAUUAAUUAAAAUUUAAAUUUUAUUUUAAUAAUAGCAUUAAAUCUAUAAUUAAACUAACUAAUAUAUUUAAAUGAUUAUCUAUUGCUUAAAUAAUAAAGUGAUUAUUUAAUUUAUUACUUAUAAUUAAUUAGCUAAUUAAUUAUUAAUACCUUAAUGUGUUUAUCCAUAAACUAAUAUUUAUACUGAUCAAUCAUUAAUAUUUUUAUUAAUCUAGUUAAUUUUUUUUACUAAUUAUCUAACUAAAAUAAUUUACUAACUAUUUAAAAAUUUACAUUAUUUUUUAUAAUUAAUUAAUUAAUAUAUUUUUAUUAUCUUACAUAAUAUUCAUAUCUAAUAAAUUUAUUAAUUUAUUAAUUUAUUUUAAUUCAUAUUUUGAUGUUAAUUAAUUAAAUAAAAUAUUUUUAAUUUAAAAUAAUAACUUUUUAUUCCUCUUGUUCUAAUCUAACCAUCUAAACAUUAUUUAUCAUAUUCAUAGAAACAAACUCAAUUUUUUUUCAAACGCAAAAUUAGUGAAGUUCCUACUUACAUCUGAACUUAUACCUAUUCUUGAUUAACAGUUCUUAUUUAUACUCGAACCAAACAUGGUCUUGAUAGUGUUUAGUUCGGGAAUAAGGAGAAAAAAUAAGUCCUUAUUCUCUCCCUUUGUUCCCAAAUACUAUUUUCGGUAUCCGAAAAUU
RNAcentral lists this long non-coding RNA (744 nucleotides) under Ananas comosus (pineapple). Its description in RNAcentral is "long non-coding RNA (ACOM_LNC020379)". Lineage: Eukaryota; Viridiplantae; Streptophyta; Magnoliopsida; Poales; Bromeliaceae. The record is from RNAcentral.